UCAGAUUGAACGCUGCGGCAGGCUAAUACAUGCAAGUCGAACGGUAACGGCAGGAAGCUUGCUCCUGGCUGACGAGUGGCGGACGGGUGAGUAAUACCUGGGGAGCUGCCUGAAUGAGGGGGACAACACCUGGAAACGGGUGCUAAUACCGCGUAAGCCCUGAGGGGGGAAAGGCCGGGCAACCGGUCGCAUUCAGAUGCGCCCAGGUGGGAUUAGCUAGUUGGUGGGGUAACGGCCUACCAAGGCGACGAUCUCUAGCUGGUCUGAGAGGAUGAUCAGCCACACUGGAACUGAGACACGGUCCAGACUCCUACGGGAGGCAGCAGUAGGGAAUAUUGCACAAUGGGGGGAACCCUGAUGCAGCCAUGCCGCGUGUGUGAAGAAGGCCUUUUGGGUUGUAAAGCACUUUCAGUAUGGAGGAAGUGAGCUGAGUUAAUAGCUUAGUUCAUUGACGUUACAUACAGAAGAAGCACCGGCUAACUCCGUGCCAGCCGCAGC
Molecule: ribosomal RNA, 498 nt
Filed under: uncultured bacterium
Lineage: Bacteria
Description: bacterial SSU rRNA
Rfam family: Bacterial small subunit ribosomal RNA
Source: RNAcentral